UAGCUCAGCUGGUAAAGAAUCUGCCUGCAAUGCAGGAGACCCAGGUUAAAUUCCUGG
Molecule: transfer RNA, 57 nt
Filed under: Bos taurus (domestic cattle)
Lineage: Eukaryota; Metazoa; Chordata; Mammalia; Artiodactyla; Bovidae
Also listed under: 2 other names
Rfam family: tRNA
About the family: Transfer RNA (tRNA) molecules are approximately 80 nucleotides in length.
Source: Rfam by way of RNAcentral